This is a long non-coding RNA of Pipra filicauda (Wire-tailed manakin), 455 nucleotides long. RefSeq lists it as uncharacterized. Lineage: Eukaryota; Metazoa; Chordata; Aves; Passeriformes; Pipridae. The transcript is spliced from 2 exons. The record is from RefSeq and is a predicted model, not a curated record.
GGAGCCCCCUGCAACACACGUCCGCCCACUCCUGCAAGGUGCAGAGAGGGAUCAAUCCUGGCUUAGCCCCGCUGCUGGGCCCAAGGGAUGCCCCACACUGCUGCCAGCAGGCAGCAAGGGGGCUGAACACUCUCCAGCCCCGACACCCAGCACCCAUCUCACCUCUGUUCUGUGACCGGCCCUGCACAGCUGCGUCUGCACCCACAGCCCUUCAGCCAUCCCCCCCCUCCAGAGAUCCCUUAUCCCUCCUUGUUCAUCCAGAGAAGAGCAGGCAGAGCCGUAUCCUCCACCGUGGUCCUCUUCUUUCCCCUGGGAGCCAUCCGCCUGAGCACCCUCUCCUCCCUGGAAACCUCCAUCUGCUCCCACCGGCCGCCUCCACUUGAGUGCAGCAAGGCAGGGAGUUAAUCGAGUGUGUUACCGUCGGCUGCCGUGUCAAUAAAUUACCCUUUGCUGUU